CCCUCUCACCCUAGUGGCCUAGUCUCUCUCGUUCGAUGUGGGUUCAAAUUCUCUUUCAAUCGUUCUUCAAAUAUCAUCAGUGGUUCUCUUAGGGUUCUGCUGCAGUUCUCUCUACAGAAUCGGUUGCUACUCUUGAGGUGGUACACUGGUGUUGCUGCAGUUUGUUUCACGAAUCCGCUAUUUAAUUGAGAUGGAAAAGAAAUCGUUGACAUGUGCUUCGACCGAAUCACAAAGCUUGCUUUACGAAACAAGAAGGAUGCAACUCCUAUAAUGCAGAUUGCUGACACAUUGUUGAGGGAUCAAUGGAAGUUCUGAUAAGAUGUUUUAAUACACCGAAAACCACAACAAGGUGGAAUUCUUCAUGUCGAUCCCCCUAUUUUCUUUCUCACUUUCAAACUGGGAUUAAGGUCUACUUGUUAAAGAAGUGGUAUAUAAAAGCUUGUUAUCCUUUUAUAAGGGAAGAUAUUAUGAGAAGCUUUGGAGCUAAGUUUUACAAUAGAGAAAUUUUCACCCAAAAAAACGUUUAGACUUCUCGUGUAAACAUGUAGAUUUGGAAUUUGUUACAACAUUUGGAAUAUUUUUCAGAUCAAACUUAUUAUUGAAGUUAUAAUAUUAUGAUUUGUACAUCUA
This 630-nucleotide long non-coding RNA is filed under the name Helianthus annuus (common sunflower). Its description in RNAcentral is "hypothetical non coding rna". Lineage: Eukaryota; Viridiplantae; Streptophyta; Magnoliopsida; Asterales; Asteraceae. The record is from RNAcentral.